CCACUUGAUAGAGGCGCGGGCACGAAGAGCCGCGGGCGAGCCGGCAGGCUUUGACCCCGUGGGGAGGCGAAACCCGCCGAACUGGGUUUUACGGGCACGAACAACCUGGUGGGCCUGUGGGAAACACCCACAGGACUGUCUGCAGCAAUGCGGGAGCGCUAUCCGGACA
RNAcentral lists this non-coding RNA (169 nucleotides) under Collinsella sp. RNAcentral describes it as "Lysine sequence". It matches the Rfam family "Lysine riboswitch aptamer". From Rfam's summary of the family: Riboswitches are metabolite binding domains within certain messenger RNAs that serve as precision sensors for their corresponding targets. Allosteric rearrangement of mRNA structure is mediated by ligand binding, and this results in modulation of gene expression. Lineage: Bacteria; Bacillati; Actinomycetota; Coriobacteriia; Coriobacteriales; Coriobacteriaceae. The record is from RNAcentral.